UAAAAUUUUUUAAGUUUAUCCUUGAGUUGCUUCGUUUUGUUUGUGAUGUGUGAUGUGUUAAUCUCCUGUCCAGAGUCAUGCCCAAGUAUCUGUCCUUGUUAGAAACUGUUGUAUUGUUAAUGGAGACCUGCGGGCAGAUUUGUUUUCUCAGUGUAAAGGUUACACGUGUGGAUUUCAUCACUAGAGAGUGGAUGAAGCAAUUAUCGAGUCUGCGAGGGAAAUUAAUAGCGCAGUGUCGUCAGCAAAUAUUGUUAUAGUUAUCUCUGUUAAUAUUGGUAAAUCGGCAGUGUAGAUGGAAAAUAGCAGAAGUUCAAGGACACUGCCUUGCCACUAGAAAUGCCAGCUUGUAUUAGAAACGCCAGCUUCUAUUGGGAAUGUUAUGGUAGUGGCGUCUAAGUAUUUAACCAUGAAUUGGCUUUUGGUUAGGUAGGACUUUAGGAUGGGGUAGUAGGUGUGUGGUAGGAUUUUUUUAAGUUUGUAUAGAAGCCUUUCAUGCCAUACUUUGUCGAGUGCCUGUUGAAUGUCAAGAAAUACCGCUGAUCGAUAUUUUUUCUUUUCUAGGAUUUGGCUGAUAUUGUGUGUUAUGCGAUGGAUUUGCUCUAUUGUAGAAUGUUGUUUCCGAAAACCGAAUUGAUGAUCUGGCAGUGUUUUCGAAUCCUCUAGGAGUGGGAGAAGUUGUUUUGUUAGCAUCUUCUCGAAUAGUUUUGACAAGGCAGAUAGAAGACUAAUUGGGCGAUAUGAGGGACAUUUACGUUUGCUGUUAGAAGUCUUAAUAGGUGUGGAGGAGCGGAUAGCGUUUAUUAUGCUCGUGUUUAAGUAUUCCGUGGCUGUUUUAAUAUCUUCAUUAGUUUUUAGUGAAAUUAAGGCUGAAAUUGAGUGAUUGAAGACUUCUCUAAAGAGCUGCCAGUUGGUGAGUUGGGACUGUAAUGAUACCCGCAGUAUGUUUACAUUUCGAACCAGACGGUCAACUGUACUUUGUGAGACAGCCUCUCAAUUACUGUUGCAUUUUCAUGAAUUUUUUACGAAUUUUACGAAUUCAUAAAAAACGAUCACCGACUUAAAAAAUAUCAUUUUCUACUGUACCAUGCCAUUAAACACGAAGAAUUUGUUUUCGUAUCCAACGAAAUUUAUUAAAAUAUAAUAAUGAAUUCAUUAAAAUAUAAUUAAAGAAAAUGAUAUGGAUUAGUAUAAAUUAACCUCUCUAUUAGUAUGUCUGUAACUAGUAUUAAGAAUUCGAUAUGUAUCAUUAACAAAAUUUUUUAAAGCUCAAUAUCUCAUCAUAAUAUACAACAUAUAUUCCAGUAAUUUAUAGGCAAUGCAAGAACACUAAUGGAUAGAAGGAAUUAUAAACCACAGACGAGGUUCUGUAUUUCGACACAAUGCAUAAACACGGCAUACUGAAUUGAAAUAUAUUUUUAUCAAAUAAUUAUGAUUAUAAUGUAUAUUUUACAAUUAUAAUUGUAAAACAUGAUAGAUCGAAAUAGAUCGAGGCGCCUUAUUGCAGACAAGGCAACCAACGUCGUCCGAUCACUAAGAGUUAUACCUCUUUCCAUGCCUGUAUAUACGACCGUGAUAAACACUGGCGCAUUCAAAAUUCAUUGUAGUAAUAAGAACAAUUUUUGGCGAAUAUUUCAGAAACUAAGCGAGUCUACCGCUUAAUUAUAUAAGAAAAUGUUAUUCAAAAUGUUGAGCUUUACGACAUAUCCAAAAAUCAUCGAAAUCGGAGGAUAGUUAGCAUCUCUACAGUUUCCCCGUUUUUACUAACAUGUGUUAAUGUAAUAUGUAGCAAGAAUAAUUAACAAUUUAUACUUAUCCUAGUAUCACAAUUUAUUCAGUCUGCAUUACUUACUAGGUACUAGUAAAUAUGAAUAUAACCUAACUUAGGAAUUUUAAAAUUGCACAUUUGUUUUGUUUUACUGGUAGUUUAUUUUACGUUAAUUUUAGCUUAACCUGUCUUGACGUUGUUUUGGCCAUAUAAUUUUGUUUAUAUUUCAUCAAUUUAAUAUUGUCUUCUUUAUUGUGGGGACAAUGUGUGAUUUUGUUUGUGUGUAACUGCGUGUAUCUUUGUUGUGGCUUCCGUUUGUGUGUAAUUAUCUAAACACUGUCAUUCUUUACUUACUGACAUUUUGCUAUAUGUAUUUAUACGGUCAAUAUCUUAAUUUUUAAUGAUGUUUGUGUUUAGAAAUUGCAGGAGAGGUGUCAUCUCUUGUGGAGAAAUGAAUUACGAUUCUUUUUAUUUCCUAAUUAUUUCAUUUCGGUUGGUUGAAUAAAGUGGCUAUAAUGUGGUUUACAUGCUGGAUGUCUGUUUCACAUUCACACGUGUUAUUUUGACUGAAUUUUGAUUGAUAAUUCCUACGUUUGCUAAGUAGCCUGCUACUCGUUUCAUAUCUUGUUCCAGGCGGGGAUUUGCUGGAUAUCUUCACUGAUGAGUUCACUGGAAAUUGGAAACUCCUAUUUCAAAAUCUCACAAGAAUUCCUAUUAACUGAAUGACAGAUCAUAGAUACUGGGGCAGACACGUGGAGUGCUAUUAUGAAAACGACUUGGUUACAUGAACAAACUUGUCCCCUGAUAUAUUCAUAUCUAUGCUGUAUUGCAAAAUUACUUAUUAUGUACGAAAAAACAUUUCAUAUAAAAUUUUAAUGCAUUAUGUGUGCUCAUAGAUCGAAGUACUCGCAUUUUUGCACGUGUGUCCUGAAUGGCAUGAUCGUUAGGCGAGGUGCAGUAAGUGCACUGUCACCUGUUCCGUCCUCGACUUGCCCGUCCAGGAAUGUGCAAAUUCUACGAUUACAGGUAUCACAACGCAGUUACGAGGCGAGUCUGGUUUCAGAAAGGGGAUUUUCCGGUGUGUCCAGCAGAUAGGUAGAUAGGAGAGCAAUUAAGGAGAAAAGUGUCGGUAAAUUAAUUAGGUCGUGACCGUCGGUAACGCGAAUUCACAAGUUUCUUGCUACGAGUUAAGCACGUUUCGAAUAAGUCGCGCGUGUACGGCAGGUAUCUGUAAAAAGUAGGAAGAUAAUAGGCCGGAAUUCGUGGGAUAGUAAUACACGGUAACGAUGAACGAACGAGCGUCUAGAGUGAGUCGUGCAUACCAAUUAUUAUAUUUCUCUUUUCUUUCCUUUGGUACCAUAAAUAAAAGUGUAUUACUGUUCGUCGAAUUCAAUAUCUUUUCCUCUUCUAAAGUAUGCCUCUUACACCUUUCAGGUAAUUCAGAGUGUUCAGAACCUGUAUAGAUCCGAUAAAGAUCGGAUUCACGUUAAAAAUGAAGCUCGGUGUUUCUCGCUCGAGCCGUGUGGCGUCCUCGCUACCAUAAUUGCUCGUGCUCGCAUGUCACAUUAGGGGACAUAUAAAGAACAUAUGAAUCUAUCUAGCGAUAAAAAUUUUGGAUCAAACAUGAGCAUCACAAUUCUUACUGGUGGAAUCUAAUUCAGUAAUUAAGGUCGGGCCAAAAUUGUAUAUAUUAGGUUGUCCGAAAAGUGUCUUUCUUUUACAGGCCCGUCUUUUACAACGAUGCAUCUUUAUACAAACAUGAAACCUGAUCUGUCGAACGUUGUGAUCUUUAUUUUGAUAGAAUAAAAUGGAUCAUAUGUAAUUCGAUAAAAUAAUAUGAAACGGAAAAUGUUGUGCAUCCAUUAUUUUCUUAUAAAACAAAAGAAACUUCUCGGACGACCUAAUAUCAAAAAAGUGUAAGACUUUUUUUUCAGUUUAAUUUAUUAAUCUGUAUUCCUCUAUGUACAAGACUGCGCCUGCUAAAUAAUCCUUCCUAUGAUACAAGAUAGAGGUCCAUUUACUAGUAAAAUUGCAUCUCACCAUCAAACUCACUCAAUACAUUGCAAUCAAUUUUUUUAACCAUAAUAGAUUAAAAAAAGAGAGACAAAACGAAAGAACAAUUCAGAUUAUUAUUUACAAAAAUAAUUGAUCAAUUAUCGAUCGAUUAUUGGACAAUUCAUCUCCGCAUUUUUACAAAGGGAAAGAAAUACAAAUUCAAGAUAAUCAUUCUUUCUUUGUACUGUUUUCAAUCAAUAUAAUGAACAUAACCUGUGAAUUAGGCAAUAGUCAAUUCAUUAUUAAUUAUGUACAAGUGAUUAUUAUCGAAUAAAGAAUUAAGGAAGGGAUACAAAAAUUUUUCGUGGUUAUUUCAUAAUGACAACCCAUCAAUCAAUCGACAAAUACGGAAUGACUAAUUAAUUAAUCAUCGGUACUAAUUGUAAGGUCUUUUUGUUAAAGACCAACAGUAGUGACACAAUUAACUAAU
Long non-coding RNA from Bombus pyrosoma, 4250 nucleotides. RefSeq lists it as uncharacterized. The transcript is spliced from 2 exons. Lineage: Eukaryota; Metazoa; Arthropoda; Insecta; Hymenoptera; Apidae. The record is from RefSeq and is a predicted model, not a curated record.